This 375-nucleotide ribosomal RNA is filed under the name Triticum aestivum (bread wheat). RNAcentral's name for it is "partial small subunit ribosomal RNA". Lineage: Eukaryota; Viridiplantae; Streptophyta; Magnoliopsida; Poales; Poaceae. The record is from RNAcentral.
UGCACUAUCUGCGGAUGCAGUGAUGAAGAUGAGUUUCAUGCUGUUGUGGAGUGCACAAAAAGCAGAGCAUUACGAGAUGCACUCAGAGAAAGUUGGGAGAUACCUCCAGAGCAUGCAUUCCGGCGUACUGGCCCUGAUUGGCUUCAGUUGUUGUUGAGUUCUGAAACUGAAGAAAUGAGAGCGAGGGUACUUAUGUUAUUUUGGAGGUGCUGGCACCUUCGCGAUGACGUGGUGCAUGGAAAAGGAAAGGAACCUAUCAAACAAUCAGUCAUGUUCCUGCUGCAGUACGAGGAAGACCUGAGAAAUGCAGCGAUUAACUCUCUGUCUGACCUGGGAAAGGGGCCUGUGAGCUGUGACCAUGGCUGUAGAGAAUGA